GGGGUCGUAGCUCAGCUGGGAGAGCGCCGCAAUCGCACUGCGGAGGUCGGCGGUUCGAUCCCGCUCGACUCCACCA
RNAcentral lists this transfer RNA (76 nucleotides) under Ectorhizobium quercum. Its description in RNAcentral is "tRNA-Ala". It matches the Rfam family "tRNA". Rfam says of the family: Transfer RNA (tRNA) molecules are approximately 80 nucleotides in length. Their secondary structure includes four short double-helical elements and three loops (D, anti-codon, and T loops). The record is from RNAcentral. Lineage: Bacteria; Pseudomonadati; Pseudomonadota; Alphaproteobacteria; Hyphomicrobiales; Rhizobiaceae.